GGCAUGAUGGCUUAGUGGUUAGCAUGUUGCCUCGCACCUACAGGGUUGAGGGUUCGAACCCCUUCGUCCUG
Pangasianodon gigas (Mekong giant catfish) is the source of this 71-nucleotide non-coding RNA. The record is from the annotation of a GenBank genome assembly. Lineage: Eukaryota; Metazoa; Chordata; Actinopteri; Siluriformes; Pangasiidae.